Molecule: ribosomal RNA, 276 nt
Filed under: uncultured prokaryote
Description: partial 16S ribosomal RNA
Rfam family: Bacterial small subunit ribosomal RNA
Source: RNAcentral
UACGUAGGGUGCGAGCGUUGUCCGGAAUUACUGGGCGUAAAGGGUGCGUAGGUGGUUUCUUAAGUCAGAGGUGAAAGGCUACGGCUCAACCGUAGUAAGCCUUUGAAACUGGGAAACUUGAGUGCAGGAGAGGAGAGUGGAAUUCCUAGUGUAGCGGUGAAAUGCGUAGAUAUUAGGAGGAACACCAGUUGCGAAGGCGGCUCUCUGGACUGUAACUGACACUGAGGCACGAAAGCGUGGGGAGCAAACAGGAUUAGAUACCCGCGUAGUCCCUGA